AGUGGUUUGCACGUGUGUGUGUGUGUGUGUGUGUGUGUGUGUGUGCGUUGGUAUUCCUAUCUUUAUGGGGACAUUGAUCUGUAUACACAGUCACCUUAUGGGGACCAAAAACGUUAUGGGGACAAAAAUCUAGGUCCCCAUAAGGGAAACCAUUAAAACAUAUUGGGGAGACUGUAUAUAUGUGCCUUACAAAGUUUUAGCUUAGGCCCAUAACGAACGACCUCAUCGGAUCACACGGUUCACACGGAUUCUCUAUGUUGCCACCUGUAGUCAGGAACCGGAACUUUUUGGGGGUGGGGCUUGGCCGAGCCUUACACACAUUUUGCAAGCCUAAUUUAUGCAAAUCACGGUACCGCCCACUUAACGGAGGUGUUUGCGUGAUUUGCGCAUGUGCAAUAGCUUUGAGAGGUAAGAGCACCGUAAAGUUUUGUUCUAUUAAGCAAUUAUAAUACUUAUCUUUCGAGUAAAAUAAAUAAGAUUAAAUAAACAAUAAAUGUAGGUGUGUAAAAAAGUGGCUGCUAUGUUAAUAUUUUCAAAAAAUUGUUAAAAUGGUGAAACGAGAGCUGCGUUAUGGCGAAGUGUAGUUUUAUCUGACCAUUAAUGAGUUUUCAGCACCACGGGAAGUAGAAACAUAGACGAAAGGAAGAUUCUACUGCUUUUACACGACCAAAUACAGUGAAAGCAGUUUGAAAUGCCACCACGAAUCAGCCCACUUAAGGAUGCCAUUCAUUACGUUGUUUCAAAGACUGACAAAACAUGGAAAUUAGAUGUGAAGUACAUCAAUGCAGAGAAAGGCCGUGGUAUAUUUGCAAAGGGUUUGAUUUGCAAAGGAGAUUUUGUUGUUGAAUAUAGGGGAGAAAUGAUAAAUAAUGCGGAAUCCCAGAGAAGAAGAAAACUUUACCACCCAUCAUGUACUGCAUUUAUGUUUGCGUUCAAGUGGAGAGGGAAAAUGUAUUGUAUUGAUGCCUCUAAAGAAGAUGGAUCCUUUGGGCGGCUAGUUAAUGAUGACCACAGGCAUCCAAACUGUAGGAUGAAAAAAAUUGAUGUGAAUGGAAACCCGCACCUUUGUCUGUUUGCACUAAAUGACAUUAAUGAAGGAGAAGAGAUUUCCUAUGACUAUGGAGGUGACGACUGCCCAUGGAGAAAACAAGCGACCAGCAUUACAGCUAAUGCCAUGGGGCCGGACGACUCUCAACCUUCCCUCUUGUCAAAGACUCCGAUAUAUG
This is a long non-coding RNA of Brienomyrus brachyistius, 1226 nucleotides long. RefSeq lists it as uncharacterized. NCBI's taxonomy places the organism in Eukaryota, Metazoa, Chordata, Actinopteri, Osteoglossiformes, Mormyridae. The transcript has 5 exons. The record is from RefSeq and is a predicted model, not a curated record.